UUGAUUUGUUUUUCUUGAGACCGUACGGAGUUGAAUGAGCAGAGAGUCAGGAGGGAAACCAGAGAUAAAACAAUAUAGGUACAGGAUAAGUUUAAAAUGGCGGGAUCUCUGCAAGCAGGAGAUGGGAGGCGCUAUGGCGUCUGUGUAUACUGGUAUAAAGUAAAUAUGAACAAAUGCUAUUGGUUGCAGAGCCAAAGAGAAAAAGAGAGACGAGGAACAAGGUAUGGAAUUCCACGCCUUUGAUUUGAAUUGUAUUCCUCAAAGUUUCCGAUCCCCAAAAAAGAGAAUCUAGUUUACUAUCUUUUACCAACCCAAUUUGCCCAAUUGCCUGCUUUUUUGGUCUGUGUAAGUAGAAAAUGCAGCAGAAGGAGGAUCAUUUAAUCAUCAUCAUCAUCAUCAUCAUCAACUCCAAUACUCUCUGCUGCUGUUAAUAUUGGUUUUUCUCCUUUUAUUUAUCCUUUUCUUAUAUAUUAUAUAUCUGGCCUGUCAGAGAAUGAUUGAAUUGGAAAAGGAAGAAAAGAAGCCAAGCCAGUACAGUGGUACAUCCCCCCCUGAGAGAAGAUUUGCUGGGGGAAACACUUGACAGUUGGCCUGAAGGAGAAAGGAGAAGAAGAGAAAGAACUCAUUCAUAACUUCCUGACCAACGAUCUUUUUUGCAGACUAAAUGAUACAUCCUUCAAUUUGUUUGCCCUGACUGGUCAAAUCUAGCCAAUCUUCACAAAGCAGUAAGACAAAGACCAUUAAGGUUCCAACUCAAAACAUGUAGCUAUCUUUCAUAUUAGUGUCUUAACCCAUGUGGUGCAUAUACAUUGGUAGUAUUUUGUGCUGCAUGGAUUAUUUUGAUUAGUAGCACAAUUAGUUGAGAUUACGAGGAUAAGGUUUGACAUCUAGAAUUAUGUUUCCUCGUAAAAUUGAAUUGAGAAUAGUUGAAGAAAGUUAAGUUGAUGUUGGAAGAAAGGUUGAAUAGAGUGAUAUAUGAGAGUCCAAGUUGAAUUGUGUUUCCCAAACUUACUCAAAUGAAAAUUAAACUUUUCCUAAGAAUCCUUUAUCUUUUUUAAUUCAAAAAACCCUUUUAACCUCAACUCAAUUUCUUUCCGUUAAUUUCAAUUUAACUUUUCAAGAAAACAUUAUUCUAGAUACCAAAGUUUAUCGAGAUUUCCUGAAUCAAACAAUCCAAGGUAUCUUGAGAAUUGCAGGUGAAAGGGGGUUCUUGGUUAACUGAUCAAACCUUGACAGCAGAAGCUGAAGAACGAUUCAUUGAAAUCGACGGUGUAGUGCAUGGAGUGAGGAUCAGUAGAAAGGCCGAAAGCUUUGACCUUUAGGGGAAAUGGGAGAUAUGGGUUAGGAUAGAAGGGAGUAAGGGUUGUGGGGGCUGUGGAAGCACAUGAGUGUUAGGGCCACUCUAGCUAUGCUAUUGCUAGGCUUGCUUGCUUGUUAUCCUCUUCAACUCUCAGUUAGCAACGUAGCAAGUGAGAGUUGAAAGAUCCUGUUGAUGAUGAUGACGAGAGAGGCAUGUCCCAUGACAACCCAGAUUUUGCCACCACGGUUUUUAUUGGAUUUGAUUGAUCGUUUCCCCAUCUCUUUGUUUUUGUUUUACUCUCUUUUUAUUUUUAAUGGCAGGGCGGCACCUUCCGAGACACCUAAAUAUCAUACAACUAACAAGAAAGAGUAGAGAAUUCUGAGUUGUGUAAAAUGCAAGCCAACACUAGUAGAGUAGAGUGC
RNAcentral lists this long non-coding RNA (1722 nucleotides) under Linum usitatissimum (flax). Its description in RNAcentral is "long non-coding RNA (LUSI_LNC007204)". Lineage: Eukaryota; Viridiplantae; Streptophyta; Magnoliopsida; Malpighiales; Linaceae. The record is from RNAcentral.